RNAcentral lists this ribosomal RNA (714 nucleotides) under uncultured bacterium. RNAcentral's name for it is "bacterial SSU rRNA". It matches the Rfam family "Bacterial small subunit ribosomal RNA", at positions 111 to 823 of the family's 1533-position model. The record is from RNAcentral.
UAACACGUAUCCAACCUGCCGUCUACUCUUGGACAGCCUUCUGAAAGGAAGAUUAAUACAAGAUGGCAUCAUGAGUUCACAUGUUCACAUGAUUAAAGGUAUUCCGGUAGACGAUGGGGAUGCGUUCCAUUAGAUAGUAGGCGGGGCAACGGCCCACCUAGUCUUCGAUGGAUAGGGGUUCUGAGAGGAAGGUCCCCCACAUUGGAACUGAGACACGGUCCAAACUCCUACGGGAGGCAGCAGUGAGGAAUAUUGGUCAAUGGGCGAGAGCCUGAACCAGCCAAGUAGCGUGAAGGAUGACUGCCCUAUGGGUUGUAAACUUCUUUUAUAAAGGAAUAAAGUCGGGUAUGUAUACCCGUUUGCAUGUACUUUAUGAAUAAGGAUCGGCUAACUCCGUGCCAGCAGCCGCGGUAAUACGGAGGAUCCGAGCGUUAUCCGGAUUUAUUGGGUUUAAAGGGAGCGUAGAUGGAUGUUUAAGUCAGUUGUGAAAGUUUGCGGCUCAACCGUAAAAUUGCAGUUGAUACUGGAUAUCUUGAGUGCAGUUGAGGCAGGCGGAAUUCGUGGUGUAGCGGUGAAAUGCUUAGAUAUCACGAAGAACUCCGAUUGCGAAGGCAGCCUGCUAAGCUGCAACUGACAUUGAGGCUCGAAAGUGUGGGUAUCAAACAGGAUUAGAUACCCUGGUAGUCCACACGGUAAACGAUGAAUACUCGCUGU